This is a long non-coding RNA of Nymphaea colorata (pocket water lily), 951 nucleotides long. RefSeq lists it as uncharacterized. The transcript is spliced from 4 exons. NCBI's taxonomy places the organism in Eukaryota, Viridiplantae, Streptophyta, Magnoliopsida, Nymphaeales, Nymphaeaceae. The record is from RefSeq and is a predicted model, not a curated record.
CUGCUGAAAGGUGUUUUGGCGGGAGAGGCGGGCAAGGCUCGGCCUCCCCGCCGAUUCCUUCUCCAUUGCUUCUUCAUGAAUUCGUGCGCUUGCUUCUUGUUUCUAAAUUCUUGUUGAUUGCCGCCAUUAUCACCACCACCACCACCACUAUCACCGUGUACUCGGCCUGUCCCUCUCUUUUCAAGCCUUUUUUGUGGUGCUCGGAUCUAGCAAGCAACGAUUGCUCUGAACGCAUGGCUCCUCCGAGUGCACCAAAAUUUCAGCCCUCCUGGAACCUAGAUUGAAAGAAAGAUUGGGAAGCUGGUAGUGCCCCUAAGCAUGUACAAACUACGCAGUUAAGCUAUGUUGGAGAUGCAUUCCAUGGUUACUGGAGCAAGGCAUCAAGACAAGAAAAUGAAAAGUGAGGCAAUGCAUGACAUGGCUGCUCAACGACGUGGUUCCGCAGCAGUUAUUGUGCUUCUUGGUUUUUUAUAUACCAAAGCAGCGUCUCAAUGGCAACUAGACAAACUUAGCUGAACCACAAUGUGAUGCAUUGCCGUGUACGUCUUCUUUUAUGCUAUCAACAUGCACAACUAGUUUGCAGUGUUGCUUGUAACUAUUGUCUGCCACUAUGCGAAUGCGAUGCAGAGAAAGCAAGAAGACUUUUUGAGGGGAAGCAGCGCCAGUUAUUCCCCAAACUUGAAGUCUUCAACAUCUGUUGGCACUAUUUAUCAAUAUGGACUUGCCCAAAGAAAUUUUUUCCCCAUGCUGGAAUCUCGUGUAGGCAAGAACGUUUCACACUUUUUUGUGCAAAACUUGGUUAACAGAGGAAUUUGGAAGAUAUUAGAUAAGACCUUGGAUGAAGCUUCAAUUCUGCCAAUUCUUUUUUGCUUUUCCUUGUGUUGCCGUAGGGCUUCGAAGCUGCAACUCUUUUCGAUUUCAUUUCUCCUCCCACAGCCCAUUAAUCAAGUU